Bactrocera neohumeralis is the source of this 1045-nucleotide long non-coding RNA. RefSeq lists it as uncharacterized. The record is from RefSeq and is a predicted model, not a curated record. Lineage: Eukaryota; Metazoa; Arthropoda; Insecta; Diptera; Tephritidae. The transcript has 3 exons.
UUUGGCACAAGCAUGAAAAAAAAAACAAAAAUCACAGCUGUUAAAAAUCAAAUGCAAUAAAACAAAUGAGAGCAGGAGAAUGAUUCUCAGCGCAACUGCAGGCAAUGCAUGCAAAUGCACUGAGUGCGCGCCGUUACUUGUGUUGUGCAGUUACAAAGAAGUUUCAUUAAGAAAAAUGUGCGUGCGAGUUGAACAAAAUUGUAAAUUCAUUAAUAACUCAAAGAAAUAAUUAAUUUUGGUGCAAUUAAAAAGUAAAAAUUUGUGCAAAUACGAGUAAUUAGUGUGAAUGUGUGGAAGUAUUUGAAUACUCAAGGUGGAAAGAAUUUAAAGCGAAACAGCGGUUUGUAAAAAUGUGAAAAGCAACGUGUUUCGUAUAAAAUAUUGAAAAAAAUGUAAAUAGAGAAGAAAGUGUAAAGUGUGUAAAAUUGUUUGGAAAAAUAUUAAAUUGUGGAACAGUAUUGUAAGCAAUAUUGAUGAGCCUUUUGUUUGCGUGCGUGUUAAGUAAUGCAUUGUGGUGUAAAAAUAAUAAUAGCGCACGGAAUUCAUACCAGAAAAGUUUGCCGGGAAAAUGCUGUUGACUAUAAGGAACAACAAAUGUAGAGUCUCCAAAUGGCAAAUUUAUUGCUUAUUUACACAACAAACGAGUAAAACGGUUCGUGGAAGAAAAUAUUAUUUCAAUGUGCAUCAAAGGAAUUCUUGGAGCGCCGCAUUCCAUUCUAAACAGAUCACAAAAUAUUUUCUACCACAACAAACAUGUGUCUUCUGCGAAAUAUUCACCACCCUGCACACCUGUGACGCACUCACCGAUCGAUAAAAACUCGCAGUUUAUAUGUAUGAACUCACACAGACAACUAUAUUUCGUCUCGUAUCGGAAAACUCAUCAUUGAAUAAACAGAAAGUAUGGUGAAUCGAACAAAUAACUGGUAUAAAUUUUGAAGCCCUAGAAAAACGAGCAAUUAAGUAUACUAAAGAAAUAUAACUGGAUAACUUUGUUGGCGAGUAACGAGCCGAACAAACAUCUGGUAUAAAUGUAAGAGACUGGUAU